CCCGCUGAACUUAAGCAUAUCAAUAAGCGGAGGAAAAGAAACUAACAAGGAUUCCCCUAGUAACUGCGAGUGAAGCGGGAAAAGCUCAAAUUUGAAAUCUGGCGGUUUUUGACCGUCCGAGUUGUAAUCUAGAGAAGUGUUACCUGUGCUGGACCGUGUAAAAGUCUCCUGGAAUGGAGCAUCAUAGAGGGUGAGAAUCCCGUCUUUGACAUGGACGACCAGUGCGUCGUGGUGCGCUCUCAAAGAGUCGAGUUGUUUGGGAAUGCAGCUCAAAAUGGGUGGUAAAUGCCAUCUAAAGCUAAAUAUUGGCGAGAGACCGAUAGCGAACAAGUACCGUGAGGGAAAGAUGAAAAGCACUUUGGAAAGAGAGUUAAACAGUACGUGAAAUUGCUGAAAGGGAAACGCUUGAAGUCAGUCACGUCGGCUAGAAAUCAGCCUUGCUUCUGCUCGGUGUACUUUCUGGUUGACGGGUCAGCAUCAAUUUCGACCGCUGGACAAAGUCUUUGGGAAUGUGGCAUCCUCGGAUGUGUUAUAGCCCAUCGUCGCAUGCAGUGGUUGGGAUUGAGGAACUCAGCACGCCGCAAGGCCGGGUUUCGACCACGUUCGUGCUUAGGAUGCUGGCAUAAUGGCUUUAAUCGACCCGUCUUGAAACACGG
This 656-nucleotide ribosomal RNA is filed under the name uncultured fungus. RNAcentral describes it as "eukaryotic LSU rRNA". It matches the Rfam family "Eukaryotic large subunit ribosomal RNA", at positions 24 to 664 of the family's 3401-position model. Lineage: Eukaryota; Fungi. The record is from RNAcentral.